CUCGCACGCUGUGUGUAAAUGCAGGCUGCGGGUCGCUACACUCGCCCCGUCCUGCCGCAGCUGAGAUCCCCCCUUUGAGGAGAAGGAGAGCAAGUGAAAGUGUUAAAAGGAGUAGCAGCUAAGCAAAGGAAAAGGUCAAGGGAAAAUAAUAUUGAACAAAAUAAAUUGGAAUAUUGAGUGACAAUGGAAUUCAUGCUGAAUCAUAGUAUGUGCUGAUGCUGUGCUGAAACCAGUGGCAUCCAUGUGGACCAGUGCUGUCACCACAGGAGAGGAUGAUUUCAGGAAAAGCCACUGGGACUCACAUGUUGCCGUGCGGAAAUGGCAGGAGGAAAUGAGUUAA
RNAcentral lists this long non-coding RNA (340 nucleotides) under Struthio camelus australis. RNAcentral describes it as "lncRNA (ENSSCUG00000011263.1)". Lineage: Eukaryota; Metazoa; Chordata; Aves; Struthioniformes; Struthionidae. The record is from RNAcentral.